AUCAAAUUUUAUUUGUCACAUACACAUGGUUAGCAGACGUUAAUGCGAGCGUAGCGAUAUGCUUGUUCUUCUAGGUCCGACCACGCAGUAAUGUCUAACAAAUGAUUGAACAAUUUCACAACUACCUUUAACACACAAGUGUAAAUGAAUGAAUAAGAAUAUGUACAUAUAAAUACAGUGGGGAGAACAAGUAUUUGAUACACUGCCGAUUUUGCAGGUUUUCCUACUUACAAAGCAUGUAGAGGUCUGUAAUUUUUAUCAUAGGUACACUUCAACUGUGAGAGACGGAAUCUAAAACAAAAAUCCAUAAAAUCACAUUGUAUGAUUUUUAAGUAAUUAAAUGGCAUUUUAUAGCAUGACAUAAGUAUUUGAUACAUCAGAAAAGCAGAACUUAAUAUUUGGUACAGAAACCUUUGUUUGCAAUCACAGAGAUCAUACGUUUCCUGUAGUUCUUGGCCAGGUUUGCACACACUGCAGCAGGGAUUUUGGCCCACUCCUCCAUACAGACCUUCUCCAGAUCCUUCAGGUUUCGGGGCUGUCACUGGGCAAUACAGACUUUCAGCUCCCUCCAAGGAUUUUCUAUUGGGUUCAGGUCUGAAGACUGACUAGGCCACUCCAGGACCUUGAGAUGCUUUUACGGAGCCACUCCUUAGUUGCCCUGGCUGUGUGUUUCUGGUCGUUGUCAUGCUGGAAGACCCAGUCACGACCCAUCUUCAAUGCUCUUACUGAGGGAAGGAGGUUGUUGGCCAAGAUCUCGCGAUACAUGGCCCCAUCCAUCCUCCCCUCAAUACGGUGCAGUCGUCCUGUCCCCUUUGCAGAAAAGCAUCCCCAAAGAAUGAUGUUUCCACCUCCAUGCUUCACGGUUGGGAUGGUGUUCUUGGGGUUGUACUCAUCCUUCUUCUUUCUUCAAACAAAGCGACUGGAGUUUAGACCAAAAAGCUCUAUUGUUGUCUCAUCAGACCAGAUGACCUUCUACCAUUCCUCCUCUGGAUCAUCCAGAUGGUCAUUGGCAAACUUCAGACGGGCCUGGACAUGCGCUGGCUUGAGCAGGGGGACCUUGCGUGCGCUGCCGUAUUUUAAUCUAUGACGGAGUAGUGUGUUACUAAUGGUUUUCUUUGAGACUGUGGUCCCAGCUCUCUUCAGGUCAAUGACCAGGUCCUGCCGUGUAGUUCUGGGCUGAUCCCUCACCUUCCUCAUGAUCAUUGAUGCCCCACAAGGUGAGAUCUUGCAUGGAGCCCCAGACCGAGGGUGAUUGACCGUCAUCUUGAACUUCUUCCAUUUUCUAAUAAUUGCGCCAACAGUUGUUGCCUUCUCACCAAGCUGCUUGCCUUAUUGUCCUGUAGCCCAUCCCAGCCUUGUGCAGGUCUACAAUUUUAUCCCUGAUGUCCUUACACAGCUUUCUGGUCUUGGCCAUUGUGGAGAGGUUGGAGUCUGUUUGAUUGAGUGUGUGGACAGGUGUCUUUUAUACAGGUAAAUAGUUCAAACAGGUGCAGUUAAUACAGGUAAUGAGUGGAGAACAGGAGGGCUUCUUAAAGAAAAACUAACAGGUCUGUGAGAGCCAGAAUUCUUACUGGUUGGUAGGUGAUCAAAUACUUAUGUCAUGCAAUAAAAUGCAAAUUAAUUACUUAAAAAUCAUACAAUGUGAUUUUCUGGAUGUUUGUUUUAGAUUCCGUCUCUCACAGUUGAAGUGUACCUAUGAUACAAAUUACAGACCUCUACAUGCUUUGUAAGUAGGAUAACCUGCAAAAUCAGCAGUGAAUCAAAUACUUGUUCUCCCCACUGUAUAUGGAUGAGUGAUGGCCGAAUGGCAUAGGCAAGAUGCAGUAGAUGGUAUAGAGUACAGUAUGAGAUGAGUAAUGUAGGGUAUGUAAACAUUAUAUAAAGUGGCAUUGUUUAAAGUGACUAGUGAAACAGUUAUUACAUCCAAUGUUUAAUUAUUAAAAUGGCUAGAGAUUUGAGUCAGUAUGUUGGCAGCAGCCACUCAAUGUUAGUGAUGGCUGUUUAACAGUCUGAUGGCCUUGAGAAAGAAGCUGUUUUUCAGUCUCUCGGUCCCAGCUUUGAUGCACCUGUACUGACCUCGCCUUCUGGAUGCUAGCAGGGUGAACAGACAGUGGCUCGGGUGGUGGUUGUCCUUGAUGAUCUUUUUGGCCUUCCUGUGACAUCAGGUGGCGUAGGUAUCCUGAAGGGCAGGUAGUUUGCCCCCGGUGAUGCGUUGUGCAGACCUCACUACCCUCUGGAGAGCCUUACGGUUGUGGGCGGAGCAGUUGCCGUACCAGGCGGUGAUACAGCCCGACAGGAUGCUCUCGAUUGUGCAGCUGUAAAAGUUUGUGAGUGUUUUUGGUGACAAGCCAAAUUUCUUCAGCCUCCUGAGGUUGAAGAGGCGCUGCUGCGUCUUCUUCACCAUGCUGUCUGUGUGGGUGGACCAUUUCAGUUUGUCCGUGAUGUCUACGCCGAGGAACUUAAAACUUUCCACCUUCUCCACUACUGUCCCAUCGAUGUGGAUGGGGGGGUGCUCCCUCUGCUGUUUCCUGAAGUCCACGAUCAUCUCCUUUGUUUUGUUGACGUUGAGUGCGAGGUUAUUUUCCUGACACCACACUCCGAGGGCCCUCACUUCCUUCCUGUAGGCAGUCUCGUCGUUGUUGGUAAUCAAGCCUACCACUCUAGUGUCGUCUGCAAACUUGACUGAGUUGGAGGCGUGAUGGCCACGCAGUUGUGGGUGAAUAGGGAGUACAGGAAGGGGCUGAGCACGCACCCUUGUGAAGCCCCAGUGUUGAGGAUCAGCGGGGUGGCUACAAUAGUCAUUUACAACAUUAACAAUGUCUACACUGUAUUUCUGAUCAAUUUGAUGUUAUUUUAAUGGACAAAAAAAUGUGCUUUUCUUUCAAAAACAAGGAAUUUAUGCAUGCCCGGGCGGUGUGCAGACAAACAAAUUAAAAUUCCAUUUAAAUUGUAAUACUUCUGACAGCCAUCUGUUUAACUCUGCCCAUAACUUUUGGACUUUAUAACGUUCCCAGAACUCAUGGAUUAUUGAGUCAUUGUUAGUUUUACACGUCAGAGAUGAUUCUGCCAUUGUGCUGUAGAAUUUGUGAAUCAUGUCUCUUGUAUAAGAAAUUAUAUACAUUAGUUUAUACUGGAUUAAGCCUACCUUUUUGACAACUGUAACUUCGUUAGUUGUGUCCCAACAUUCCCUCCAACAUCAGUUAUUUUUAAGUCUUGGUUCCAAUAGUUAAUAUUUUUUUCUAAGAGGUUGUCAGUUGGAUAUGCUCUCUGCAAAGUUUUAUAUAUCUUACCUAUCACAUGAACAGCCUUUUCUGACUCAAAUAAGAUUCCCUCGAUGUUUCUCUGAUAUCCAAAUGACUUAAAAAGCAACAUUUCAUGAUAUGAAACUUUUAAGUUGCAAAAUUUGAAAAUACUGUAUCUACAUUGGUCAGUCCAAAAUGACUUUUUAAUUCUGUCACGGAAAUACAUUUAUUUCCUGUUACCAAGUCAUUUAUGGUUUCUAUGCCUUUAGUUGUCCAUGUGGACCAAUUUAUCAGUGAAUCGUGAAAAGCUAUCCAAGACUUGUUCCAAAUGGUUGUGUUUUUAGGGAGUGACAUUGGUUCUUGUAAAAUAUGUUUGAUCUUCUUCCAUAUUGUUAUACUGUUUUUAACUAUGAAGUUGUUCACGUUCUUAGCUUUAUCUUUGAAAAUAGACACGUAAAAAGAUUCUGGGGAUGAGCAUGCGCAUUUUGAUUAUGUACCCAUUGUUCCUCGUGAGUGCAUUUAACUAUAUGUCACAAGUAAAAGCCUUGGGUAGAGAGUUGAUAUAAUUCCAAGUCUGGAAGUUUAAAACCACCCUCAGACUCAGGAAGGUUAAAAGCACCCUCAGACUCAGGAAGGUUAAAAGCACCCUCAGACUCAGGAAGGUUAAAAGCACCCUCAGACUCAGGAAGGUUAAAAAAAACCUCGGACUCAGGAAGGUUAAUAGCACCCUCAGACUCAGGAAGGUUAAAAGCACCCUCAGACUCAGGAAGGUUAAUAGCACCCUCAGACUCAGGAAGGUUAAAAGCACCCUCAGACCCAGGAAGGUUUAAACCGCCCUCAGACUCAGGAAGGUUAAAAGCACCCUCAGACUAAGGAAGGUUAAAAGCACCCUCAGACUCAGGAAGGUUAAAAGCACCCUCAGACUCAGGAAGGUUAAAAGCACCCUCAGACUCAGGAAGGUUAAAAGCACCCUCAGACUCAGGAAGGUUAAAACCACCCUCAGACUCAGGAAGGUUAAAAGCACCCUCAGACUCAGGAAGGUUAAAACCACCCUCAGACUCAGGAAGGUUAAAAGCACCCUCAGACUCAGGAAGGUUAAAACCACCCUCAGACUCAGGAAGGUUAAAACCACCCUCAGACUCAGGAAGGUUAAAACCACCC
Molecule: long non-coding RNA, 4403 nt
Organism: Oncorhynchus tshawytscha (Chinook salmon)
Lineage: Eukaryota; Metazoa; Chordata; Actinopteri; Salmoniformes; Salmonidae
Source: Ensembl